GGCCGAGCGUCCUCGAAUGAAGCGUCGGGACUCGGGGGUCGAUCGCUAUUCAUGCAAUUUUAAUCAAUGAGCAACAGCCGUAGGUGCGGAAUGCUCAUUGACAUCGUAUGAUCGAGGUUCGACGCGAGUUUACACAAACUGCGAUAGCAUUAGUUUUAGAGCGAGAUAGAACACAUAAUAUUAUUCUCAAUUCUUAUUGAAUGAAACGUUUUACUAUUGGUUAAAAUGUAAGCAAAGUAUUGGUGUGUAUUUUCUGAACUUGUAAAUAUUUUUUAAGUAACGAUUGUAAUUGGGUAACUAGUUUUAAGGAUUUUGUAUAUAUAUCAUGUAACUUUCAAAUAAAUCAUAUAUCUUCCACAUAUUCCUCACAGUCAA
Molecule: long non-coding RNA, 375 nt
Organism: Leptidea sinapis
Lineage: Eukaryota; Metazoa; Arthropoda; Insecta; Lepidoptera; Pieridae
Exons: 2
Source: RefSeq, a predicted model, not a curated record